GACGAACGCUGGCGGCGUGCUUAACACAUGCAAGUCGAACGGAAAGGCCCUGCUUUUGUGGGGUGCUCGAGUGGCGAACGGGUGAGUAACACGUGAGUAACCUGCCCUUGACUUUGGGAUAACUUCAGGUAACUGGGGCUAAUACCGGAUAGGAGCUCCUGCUGCAUGGUGGGGGUUGGAAAGUUUCGGCGGUUGGGGAUGGACUCGCGGCUUAUCAGCUUGUUGGUGGGGUAGUGGCUUACCAAGGCUUUGACGGGUAGCCGGCCUGAGAGGGUGACCGGCCAAAUUGGGACUGAGAUACGGCCCAGAAUCCUACGGGAGGCAGCAGUGGGGAAUAUUGCACAAUGGGCGGAAGCCUGAUGCAGCAACGCCGCGUGCGGGAUGACGGCCUUCGGGUUGUAAACCGCUUUAGCCUGUGACGAAGCGUGAGUGACGGUAAUGGGUAAAGAAGCACCGGCUAACUACGUG
Molecule: ribosomal RNA, 468 nt
Filed under: uncultured bacterium
Lineage: Bacteria
Description: partial 16S ribosomal RNA
Rfam family: Bacterial small subunit ribosomal RNA
Source: RNAcentral